UUGUUUUAGGAAAAGCUAAGAUAAUGCCAAAUUGUUUCGAUCCGUGAACAGCAGCGUGCAUGGAGUUACUGGCAUGGUAAAAUGUUUGCAAGGCCAAGGAGUCCAAUCCCGCCUGCCAACCGAUCGUCAAACGCCGGACCGACGACCACCAGCCUCAGACCACCGAAACCUACGUCGACGGCGUUGAGGAGAUAAUCGACGCCACUUCCACCACCGCCUAGGCCAUUCGCUAAGGAAUCCUCGAAAGGGGUCAGAUUAUCGAGACGGAACAAACUUUCCGUGCGGCUGGCGAGCCAUGGCCGGUCCUCAUCCCGAACGCCGAGCUCCACCAAACUGCCCCGGCACUAAGUUAUUCUCCAAGUCCGCACUUGUCUUCCCUUGUCUAAAGAUUUUGAGAUAAUAUCGGGAGAGAAGUUGGGAUCAGGCCACCAUUUUGCUGCCCAUGUCCGCUGUGGAGGCAGAGCCUAUCCACUUCAUUCUGCUAUCUUUUGUGAGGUUAUUUUGAUCUGGACUCUGUAUGUGAACACCAGCAUGUGAUCCGUUCUAUGAUUGUGCAUAUACUGAGGCCGCUCCCCCGCUUAGAUCCUAGCUGUAAAUAAUUGAGCAAGGGAAGAGAUAGAGACAUGGCAUUUGAGUUGAGGUACUUUAGUUUGAACUGCACUGUUGUCAGAAUUGGGCUGACUCGAACCAGACUUUUUUGUUUCAUAUAGAGUCCGAUUCGAGAGUUAUUCUCCAAGUCCGCACUUGUCUUCCCUUGUCUAAAGAUUUUGAGAUAAUAUCGGGAGAGAAGUUGGGAUCAGGCCACCAUUUUGCUGCCCAUGUCCGCUGUGGAGGCAGAGCCUAUCCACUUCAUUCUGCUAUCUUUUGUGAGGUUAUUUUGAUCUGGACUCUGUAUGUGAACACCAGCAUGUGAUCCGUUCUAUGAUUGUGCAUAUACUGAGGCCGCUCCCCCGCUUAGAUCCUAGCUGUAAAUAAUUGAGCAAGGGAAGAGAUAGAGACAUGGCGUUUGAGUUGAGGUACUUUAGUUUGAACUGCACUGUUGUCAGAAUUGGGCUGACUCGAACCAGACUUUUUUGUUUCAUAUAGAGUCCGAUUCGAGAGGUCAAUGUAAAAGAGAGAAGGGAAUGGUGUUCGUCAAUUACCAUGAUGGAGAGCGGGGAGGCGUACAUGCAGAUGGAGAAGAUGGUGGCGGCGAAGCCGCAGAAGAUUUUCCGGUGCUGGCCGUGCAGCGCCAGCAGG
Nymphaea colorata (pocket water lily) is the source of this 1239-nucleotide long non-coding RNA. RefSeq lists it as uncharacterized. The transcript is spliced from 6 exons. The record is from RefSeq and is a predicted model, not a curated record. NCBI's taxonomy places the organism in Eukaryota, Viridiplantae, Streptophyta, Magnoliopsida, Nymphaeales, Nymphaeaceae.